Molecule: ribosomal RNA, 515 nt
Filed under: Pantoea agglomerans
Lineage: Bacteria; Pseudomonadati; Pseudomonadota; Gammaproteobacteria; Enterobacterales; Erwiniaceae
Description: bacterial SSU rRNA
Rfam family: Bacterial small subunit ribosomal RNA
Source: RNAcentral
ACGGGUGAGUAAUGUCUGGGGAUCUGCCCGAUAGAGGGGGAUAACCACUGGAAACGGUGGCUAAUACCGCAUAACGUCGCAAGACCAAAGAGGGGGACCUUCGGGCCUCUCACUAUCGGAUGAACCCAGAUGGGAUUAGCUAGUAGGCGGGGUAAUGGCCCACCUAGGCGACGAUCCCUAGCUGGUCUGAGAGGAUGACCAGCCACACUGGAACUGAGACACGGUCCAGACUCCUACGGGAGGCAGCAGUGGGGAAUAUUGCACAAUGGGCGCAAGCCUGAUGCAGCCAUGCCGCGUGUAUGAAGAAGGCCUUCGGGUUGUAAAGUACUUUCAGCGGGGAGGAAGGCGAUGGGGUUAAUAACCCUGUCGAUUGACGUUACCCGCAGAAGAAGCACCGGCUAACUCCGUGCCAGCAGCCGCGGUAAUACGGAGGGUGCAAGCGUUAAUCGGAAUUACUGGGCGUAAAGCGCACGCAGGCGGUCUGUUAAGUCAGAUGUGAAAUCCCCGGGCUUAAC